This 497-nucleotide ribosomal RNA is filed under the name uncultured bacterium. RNAcentral's name for it is "partial 16S ribosomal RNA". It matches the Rfam family "Bacterial small subunit ribosomal RNA", at positions 28 to 507 of the family's 1533-position model. The record is from RNAcentral.
GAUGAACGCUGGCGGCGUGCCUAAUACAUGCAAGUCGAGCGAACGGACGAGAAGCUUGCUUUUCUGAUGUUAGCGGCGGACGGGUGAGUAACACGUGGAUAACCUACCUAUAAGACUGGGAUAACUUCGGGAAACCGGAGCUAAUACCGGAUAAUAUUUUGAACCGCAUGGUUCAAAAGUGAAAGACGGUCUUGCUGUCACUUAUAGAUGGAUCCGCGCUGCAUUAGCUAGUUGGUAAGGUAACGGCUUACCAAGGCAACGAUGCAUAGCCGACCUGAGAGGGUGAUCGGCCACACUGGAACUGAGCCACGGUCCCGACUCCUACGGGAGGCAGCAGUAGGGAAUCUUCCGCAAUGGGCGAAAGCCUGACGGAGCAACGCCGCGUGAGUGAUGAAGGUCUUCGGAUCGUAAAACUCUGUUAUUAGGGAAGAACAUAUGUGUAAGUAACUGUGCACAUCUUGACGGUACCUAAUCAGAAAGCCACGGCUAACUACGUG